GAGAGCCACACAUGAGGCCUCGGCCCGCGAUGAAUGGAGCUUCACGGUCGGGCCGCUGCGGUCUGAGCGAGCGAGAGAGCGAGGGAGAAGGGAGUCGAAAACGACGGCAAUAAGUGGGGAGAGCAACACGAAAAUAUUUAACGGGCGUGUUUGUUUGGAGAGGAUCUUGGCAGGGAGCACUGCGAGUAUUACUCAGUGAACCCGGCUCAGCACGGGAAGAGAACCGGUGAGUGUCCGUCCGUCCGACUACGGGUGUGUGUUCAUGAGUCAACGUUGAGUGUCCACGCUGCCGGGCUGCUGCGGCUGUCCUGGAGUCAGCGAUGGAGCAGAAGCAUCUAAAAAAGACGAGGAAGAGAAGUGAGGACAACGGCAGAUGUCGACCGCCGCUGGUUCACGAGAGGGCAUGGGCGAACAAGAGACGGGUGCUUGUCCCCGAUUUCCAUUCCCUUCUUAGUGCUUCCUCAUUGAGAGAGAGAGAGAGAGACUCCCGCUUGACGGAGAGUCACUCUAUCAUCUCACCCUCAGACUUCUAUCUCACAUGUCUAUCUGCCGCGCCUUCCCCUCUGCACUCGGACAGCAAUAUAUAUGAUAAGAAUAUGCUAAUUAUAGCAAAGUGGACUAUAGUGGCCAAGGACGUCGGCCAUAAUAAACAGUUAUCAGCAUGACAUGGUUUCAUGUAUAGUGUUAGACUGAUGAAAUACUUGGCGGCGUCGUUUGACUGAGGAGAUAGUGGCUCCUAGGAAAGAAAAACUCAUGUGAGAGUGUGUGUGUGUGAUGACAUCCAUAUUCCCCUCUUUGUGUUUUUAUUUCUUUAUAGCUCCUCUUGUAUGUCAAUAAAAAUGAACCUUUCCC
Molecule: long non-coding RNA, 852 nt
Organism: Gasterosteus aculeatus aculeatus (three-spined stickleback)
Lineage: Eukaryota; Metazoa; Chordata; Actinopteri; Perciformes; Gasterosteidae
Source: Ensembl